CGGCUCCCCUUAAAUGGCAUCGGUUUCGGGUCUCUGUGGGAGUAACCCCUUGGGCGUUGUAUAACCCUCGCUGUCUGGGAACUCCACGCGCGUCCGCGUCGUUGAAGGGCCUUGAAGAAACCUCGACCUGCUGUAGAGUGGCGGUCAUUGUUAAAUCGAAAUCUGACCUCAAAUCAGGUAGGACUACCCGCUGAACUUAA
Molecule: unclassified non-coding RNA, 200 nt
Filed under: soil metagenome
Description: partial contains internal transcribed spacer 2 and large subunit ribosomal RNA
Source: RNAcentral